Molecule: ribosomal RNA, 253 nt
Filed under: uncultured bacterium
Lineage: Bacteria
Description: partial 16S ribosomal RNA
Rfam family: Bacterial small subunit ribosomal RNA
Source: RNAcentral
UACGUAGGGUGCAAGCGUUAAUCGGAAUUACUGGGCGUAAAGCGUGCGCAGGCGGUUUUGUAAGUCAGAUGUGAAAUCCCCGGGCUUAACCUGGGAAUGGCAUUUGGGACUGCAAGGCUGGAGUGUGGCAGAGGAGACUGGAAUUCCUGGUGUAGCAGUGAAAUGCGUAGAUAUCAGGAGGAAUACCGAUGGCGAAGGCAGGUCUCUGGGCUGACACUGACGCUCAUGCACGAAAGCGUGGGGAGCAAACAGG